GACGAACGCUGGCGGCGUGCCUAAUACAUGCAAGUUGAGCGCUGAAGGUUGGUACUUGUCCCAACUGGCUGAGCAGCGAACGGGUGAGUAACGCGUGGGGAAUCUGCCUUUGAGCGGGGGACAACAUUUGGAAACGAAUGCUAAUACCGCAUAAAAACUUUAAACACAAGUUUUAAGUUUGAAAGAUGCAAUUGCAUCACUCAAAGAUGAUCCCGCGUUGUAUUAGCUAGUUGGUGAGGUAAAGGCUCACCAAGGCGAUGAUACAUAGCCGACCUGAGAGGGUGAUCGGCCACAUUGGGACUGAGACACGGCCCAAACGCCUACGGGAGGCAGCAGUAGGGAAUCUUCGGCAAUGGACGAAAGUCUGACCGAGCAACGCCGCGUGAGUGAAGAAGGUUGUCGGAUCGUAAAACUCUGUUGGUAGAGAAGAACGUUGGUGAGAGUGGAAAGCUCAUCAAGUGACGGUAACUACCCAGAAAGGGACGGCUAACUACGUG
Molecule: ribosomal RNA, 497 nt
Filed under: uncultured bacterium
Lineage: Bacteria
Description: partial 16S ribosomal RNA
Rfam family: Bacterial small subunit ribosomal RNA
Source: RNAcentral